RNAcentral lists this long non-coding RNA (995 nucleotides) under Gossypium raimondii (Peruvian cotton). RNAcentral's name for it is "long non-coding RNA (GRAI_LNC003114)". Lineage: Eukaryota; Viridiplantae; Streptophyta; Magnoliopsida; Malvales; Malvaceae. The record is from RNAcentral.
UUAAAUGGCGUCGUUUUGGCGUUUCUUCUUUAAACAGUUUUUCUUUUUCUUUUUUUACAUUUGCAGCAUAAGGAAAUAGAAAAAAAAAAAUCAAAAACUAUGCUAGGGUUUCGCCCUAAUUUCUGACUGCUGCCGCUUCUGCUCCAUCCGACUCCGAUUUAGAGGGAAUAAACGGGGCUACGACGGCGCUGUUACGCAGGUAAGACUCUUUUUCUUUCCUUUUCCGUCAACAAUCCAAAAAUAAAUCGAAAGAAACAAAAAGAAAGGAAAAGAAAAAAAACUGGAAAUCACCUUUCCAAAAAAAUCACUGCUCUCUGUUCUUUUUUGCAACUUUUCUAUUGAUUAUGUGCGUAAAAAAAAUACAAAGGUUUUUUUGGUUCUUAUAUUAUCAUUUGACAAAGAACCCGAAAAAAAAUCGAAUAAAAAAAAUCCCAUUGGUUUGCUCUUUGCUGCGUUGUUUUCAUCCCAUUUGCAGGUACGGUGUACGGGGGCGAGGGACGUGGCGCGUACGGAGGCGAAGGCGUGCCCGUACGGAGGCUCGUCAUGUGUAGAGGGCUUGGCUGCGGCGCCUGGUAUCUCAGAAACCCUAGGGUUUCUGUUUGUGACUUUUUGUUUUGGGCUUGGGUUUGUAACGGGUUUGGGUUUAGUUAGUAUUUCGGGUUAGGGUAGAGUUGGGUUAUUUGGGUUUUAAAUGGAUUAACAGCUUUGUAAAUGGACUGUUUUUAUUGGGCUCUUUAUUUAUUUCUGAUUUGGGCCGGGCAAAUUUAGGCCAUUACAGAGUGUUUGUUUUUUUUUUCCCUAAAUUGUAAUGAAUUUAUCUUUAAAAAAAUAGUAAGAAAAAGAAAAAUUGGUUUUAGAUAUCUGACUGCAUCCACUAAUUGAACUAUGAACUUGAUUAGUUUGGACGUUUUAAUCGUAUAAGUUAAAUUACAAAAAAAAAAAAGAGAAAUGACCAAAAAUAAUAAAAAUAAAAAAUCGAGAUUUAGAUAAAUCAG